This 299-nucleotide signal recognition particle RNA is filed under the name Cebus imitator (Panamanian white-faced capuchin). RNAcentral's name for it is "Metazoan signal recognition particle RNA (ENSCCAG00000003608.1)". It matches the Rfam family "Metazoan signal recognition particle RNA". From Rfam's summary of the family: The signal recognition particle (SRP) is a universally conserved ribonucleoprotein. It is involved in the co-translational targeting of proteins to membranes. The eukaryotic SRP consists of a 300-nucleotide 7S RNA and six proteins: SRPs 72, 68, 54, 19, 14, and 9. Lineage: Eukaryota; Metazoa; Chordata; Mammalia; Primates; Cebidae. The record is from RNAcentral.
ACCGUGCACAGUGGCUCGUGCCUGUAGUCCCAGCUACUUGGGAGGCUGGGGUGGGAGGAUCGCUUGAGCCCAGGAGUUCUGGGCCGUAGUGGGCUAUGCCGAUCGGGUGUCUGCACUAAGUUUGGCAUCAAUAUGGUGACCUCCUGGGAGCGGGGGGCCACCAGGUUCCCUAAGGAGGGGUGAACCAGCCCAGGUCGGAAAUGGAGCAGGUCAAAACUCCCGUGUUGAUCAGUAGUGGGAUUGCACCUGUGAAUAGCCACUGCACUCCAGCCUGGGCAACAUAGCGAGACCUCGUCUCU